Molecule: ribosomal RNA, 103 nt
Filed under: uncultured bacterium
Lineage: Bacteria
Description: partial 16S ribosomal RNA
Source: RNAcentral
AAUACGUUCUCAAGUCUUGUACUCACCGCCCGUCAACUCAAGGGAGUCGGGAGUGCCCGAAGACUCGCGUAAGCGGGCCACGGUAAACUCGAUGACAGGGAGU